AACGCUAGCUACAGGCUUAACACAUGCAAGUCGAGGGGCAGCAGGACGAUAGCUUGCUAUUGUUGCUGGCGACCGGCGCACGGGUGAGUAACGCGUAUCCAACCUUCCCCUUAGUAGGGCAUAGCCCGUAGAAAUGCGGAUUAAUACCCUAUGUUAUCCGACGAUGACAUCUGAAUUGGAUCAAAGGUUUACCGCUAAGGGAUGGGGAUGCGUCCGAUUAGGCAGCAGGCGGGGUAACGGCCCACCUGGCCGACGAUCGGUAGGGGUUCUGAGAGGAAGGUCCCCCACAUUGGAACUGAGACACGGUCCAAACUCCUACGGGAGGCAGCAGUGAGGAAUAUUGGUCAAUGGGCGCGAGCCUGAACCAGCCAAGUAGCGUGCAGGACGACGGCCCUAUGGGUUGUAAACUGCUUUUAUGCGGGGAUAAAGUGCGGCACGUGUGCCGUUUUGUAGGUACCGCAUGAAUAAGGACCGGCUAAUUCCGUGCCAGCAGCCGCGGUAAUACGGAAGGUCCGGGCGUUAUCCGGAUUUAUUGGGUUUAAAGGGAGCGCAGGCGGAGGCUUAAGCGUGACGUGAAAUGUAGCCGCUCAACGGCUGAGUUGCGUCGCGAACUGGGUUUCUUGAGUGAGUGCGACGUCAGCGGAAUUCGUGGUGUAGCGGUGAAAUGCUUAGAUAUCACGAAGAACUCCGAUUG
This 694-nucleotide ribosomal RNA is filed under the name uncultured Bacteroidales bacterium. RNAcentral describes it as "bacterial SSU rRNA". It matches the Rfam family "Bacterial small subunit ribosomal RNA", at positions 32 to 715 of the family's 1533-position model. The record is from RNAcentral. Lineage: Bacteria; Pseudomonadati; Bacteroidota; Bacteroidia; Bacteroidales.